GGCCAUAUCACGUUGAAACAGCAGUUCUCGUACGAUCGCCGAAGUUAAGCAUCGUUGAGACUGAUCAGUAACUAGAUGGGUGACAGAUUGGGAAUACCAGGUACUGUAAG
This 110-nucleotide ribosomal RNA is filed under the name Acanthosepion pharaonis. Lineage: Eukaryota; Metazoa; Mollusca; Cephalopoda; Sepiida; Sepiidae. The record is from RNAcentral.